RNAcentral lists this ribosomal RNA (492 nucleotides) under uncultured bacterium. Its description in RNAcentral is "partial 16S ribosomal RNA". It matches the Rfam family "Bacterial small subunit ribosomal RNA", at positions 29 to 507 of the family's 1533-position model. The record is from RNAcentral.
AGUGAACGCUGGCGGUAGGCCUAACACAUGCAAGUCGAACGGCAGCACAGUAAGAGCUUGCUCUUACGGGUGGCGAGUGGCGGACGGGUGAGGAAUACAUCGGAAUCUACUUUUUCGUGGGGGAUAACGUAGGGAAACUUACGCUAAUACCGCAUACGACCUACGGGUGAAAGCAGGGGAUCUUCGGACCUUGCGCGAUUGAAUGAGCCGAUGUCGGAUUAGCUAGUUGGCGGGGUAAAGGCCCACCAAGGCGACGAUCCGUAGCUGGUCUGAGAGGAUGAUCAGCCACACUGGAACUGAGACACGGUCCAGACUCCUACGGGAGGCUGCAGUGGGGAAUAUUGGACAAAGGGCGCAAGCCUGAUCCAGCCAUACCGCGUGGGUGAAGAAGGCCUUCGGGUUGUAAAGCCCUUUUGUUGGGAAAGAAAAGCAGCAGGUUAAUACCCCGCUGUUCUGACGGUACCCAAAGAAUAAGCACCGGCUAACUUCGUG